UACGAAGGGGGCUAGCGUUGCUCGGAAUCACUGGGCGUAAAGCGCACGUAGGCGGAUUCUAAGUCAGGGGUGAAAUCCUGGAGCUCAACUCCAGAACUGCCCUUGAUACUGGGCGUCUCGAGUCCGGGAGAGGUGAGUGGAACUGCGAGUGUAGAGGUGAAAUUCGUAGAUAUUCGCAAGAACACCAGUGGCGAAGGCGGCUCACUGGCC
This 210-nucleotide ribosomal RNA is filed under the name uncultured bacterium. RNAcentral describes it as "partial 16S ribosomal RNA". It matches the Rfam family "Bacterial small subunit ribosomal RNA", at positions 524 to 734 of the family's 1533-position model. The record is from RNAcentral.